AUUGAACGCUGGCGGCAGGCCUAACACAUGCAAGUCGAACGGUAACAGGAAACAGCUUGCUGUUUCGCUGACGAGUGGCGGACGGGUGAGUAAUGUCUGGGAAACUGCCUGAUGGAGGGGGAUAACUACUGGAAACGGUAGCUAAUACCGCAUAACGUCGCAAGACCAAAGAGGGGGACCUUCGGGCCUCUUGCCAUCGGAUGUGCCCAGAUGGGAUUAGCUUGUUGGUGGGGUAACGGCUCACCAAGGCGACGAUCCCUAGCUGGUCUGAGAGGAUGACCAGCCACACUGGAACUGGGACACGGUCCAGACUCCUACGGGAGGCAGCAGUGGGGAAUAUUGCACAAUGGGCGCAAGCCUGAUGCAGCCAUGCCGCGUGUAUGAAGAAGGCCUUCGGGUUGUAAAGUACUUUCAGCGGGGAGGAAGGGAGUAAAGUUAAUACCUUUACUCAUUGACGUUACCCGCAGAAGAGGCACCGGCUAACUCCGUGCCAGCCGCCGCGGUAA
This 506-nucleotide ribosomal RNA is filed under the name uncultured bacterium. Its description in RNAcentral is "partial 16S ribosomal RNA". It matches the Rfam family "Bacterial small subunit ribosomal RNA", at positions 30 to 523 of the family's 1533-position model. The record is from RNAcentral.